UACCAGCACCCCGAGUGGUCGGGACGUUUAUUGGGCCUAAAGCAUCCGUAGCCGGUUCUACAAGUCUUCCGUUAAAUCCAUCCGCUUAACAGAUGGGCUGCGGAAGAUACUAUAGAGCUAGGAGGCGGGAGAGGCAAGCGGUACUCGAUGGGUAGGGGUAAAAUCCGUUGAUCCAUUGAAGACCACCAGUGGCGAAGGCGGCUUGCCAGAACGCGCUCGACGGUGAGGGAUGAAAGCUGGGGGAGCAAACCGG
Molecule: ribosomal RNA, 253 nt
Filed under: uncultured bacterium
Lineage: Bacteria
Description: partial 16S ribosomal RNA
Rfam family: Archaeal small subunit ribosomal RNA
Source: RNAcentral